GCGGGAGUAGUUCAAUGGUAGAACGUUCCCUUGCCAAGGGAAAGGUUGGCGGUCCGAUCCCGCUCUCCCGCU
RNAcentral lists this transfer RNA (72 nucleotides) under Parcubacteria group bacterium CG2_30_36_38. RNAcentral describes it as "tRNA-Gly". It matches the Rfam family "tRNA". From Rfam's summary of the family: Transfer RNA (tRNA) molecules are approximately 80 nucleotides in length. The record is from RNAcentral. RNAcentral also lists the same sequence under 5 other names.